RNAcentral lists this ribosomal RNA (1290 nucleotides) under uncultured Phellodon. RNAcentral describes it as "eukaryotic LSU rRNA". The stretch from base 656 to 1290 matches the Rfam family "Eukaryotic large subunit ribosomal RNA", at positions 1 to 634 of the family's 3401-position model. Lineage: Eukaryota; Fungi; Basidiomycota; Agaricomycetes; Thelephorales; Thelephoraceae. The record is from RNAcentral.
AGGAGUAAAAGUCGUAACAAGGUUUCCGUAGGUGAACCUGCGGAAGGAUCAUUAAUGAAACGCUACGUCUGGGAAAGGUUGUCGCUGGCCUCUCUUGGCAUGUGCACGUCUUGACCGGACGUUUAUGUCCUCCUUCACACCUGUGCACCAACUGUAGCUAGGGAUGAUCACGGAGCCCGUCGGGUUCCGAAUGCCCUCGCUAUGAAUGUUUUUGCACCCCCCCUAUAAUAAAGUUUUUUUGGAAUGUUUUGCAAGCGUGUAACAGCGCGAAUGAAAUACAACUUUCAGCAACGGAUCUCUUGGCUCUCGCAUCGAUGAAGAACGCAGCGAAAUGCGAUAAGUAAUGUGAAUUGCAGAAUUCAGUGAAUCAUCGAAUCUUUGAACGCACCUUGCGCUCCUUGGUAUUCCGAGGAGCAUGCCUGUUUGAGUGUCAUGAAAUUAUCAACUGCUUUGGCUUUGUUUCGAAGCGAAGUUGGAUUUGGAGUGUUUGCUGGCGCGUUCGGCUCCUCCCAAAAGUAUGAAUCCCUCUUCUCGGGCGGAAAGUAUCUUUGAUGUGAUAAUUAUCUACGUCGCGGAGAAAGCCUUGAGCGAGAGCGGCUUGCUUGGAAAAGGGGGCCGUUACAAAUGAUGGGACCCCCCUUCCGUUUGACCAAUUCGACCUCAAAUCAGGCAGGACUACCCGCUGAACUUAAGCAUAUCAAUAAGCGGAGGAAAAGAAACUAACAAGGAUUCCCCUAGUAACUGCGAGUGAAGCGGGAAAAGCUCAAAUUUGAAAUCUGGCGUGCCUCCGGUCGUCCGAGUUGUAGUCUGGAGAAGCGUCUUCCGUGCUGGACCGUGUACAAGUCCCUUGGAACAGGGCGUCAUAGAGGGUGAGAAUCCCGUCUUUGACACGGACUACCAGCGCUCUGUGAUGCGCUCUCAACGAGUCGAGUUGUUUGGGAAUGCAGCUCAAAAUGGGUGGUAAAUUCCAUCUAAAGCUAAAUACAGGCGAGAGACCGAUAGCGAACAAGUACCGUGAGGGAAAGAUGAAAAGCACUUUGGAAAGAGAGUUAAACAGUACGUGAAAUUGCUGAAAGGGAAACGCUUGAAGUCAGUCGCGUCCGCCAGGACUCAGCCUCGCUUUUGCUUGGUGCACUUUCUGGUAGAUGGGCCAGCAUCGAUUUCGACCGUCAGAGAAAGUUGGAGGGAAUGUGGCACCUUUCGAGGUGUGUUAUAGCCCUUCAUCGCAUGUGACGGUCGGGAUCGAGGAUCGCAGCACGCCCUAACGGGCUGGAGCUUUGCUCACACACG